This 406-nucleotide ribosomal RNA is filed under the name uncultured bacterium. Its description in RNAcentral is "partial 16S ribosomal RNA". It matches the Rfam family "Bacterial small subunit ribosomal RNA", at positions 29 to 526 of the family's 1533-position model. The record is from RNAcentral.
AUUGAACGCUGGCGGCAGGCCUAACACAUGCAAGUCGAGCGAGCGGCGGACGGGUGAGUAAUGUCUGGGAAACUGCCUGAUGGAGGGGGAUAACUACUGGAAACGGUAGCUAAUACCGCAUACCAUCAGAUGUGCACAGAUGGGAUUAGCUAGUAGGUGGGGUAAUGGCUCACCUAGGCGACGAUCCCUAGCUGGUCUGCGAGGAUGACCAGCGACACUGGAACUGAGACACGGACCAGACUCCGACGGGAGGCAGACGUGGGGGAAAUUGCACAAGGGGCGCAAGCGUGAUGCAGCCAUGCCGCGUGGGUGAAGAAGGCCUUCGGUUUGUAAAGCACAUUCAGCUAGUAGGCGUUACCCGCAGAAGAAGCACCAGCUAACUCCGUGCCAGCAGCCGCGGUAAUAC